UAGAACUAACAUCUCAAUGAAUCAAAUGAUAGGGUAACGCCUUGAAGGGUUCACUUUAAUACUCCGACAGGUAUGGAAAUAGAUAAGUAUAGAAAUGUCUGAAGCACGGUAAAGUCGCAUGAGUUUUGCCCUGUUUUGCAAGAAAUGGGAAACAUGUCCAGAGGUGGAUGGUGCAGUCUAAGGAAAUAUUGUGA
This is a non-coding RNA of Peptococcaceae bacterium BRH_c23, 194 nucleotides long. The record is from Rfam. NCBI's taxonomy places the organism in Bacteria, Bacillati, Bacillota, Clostridia, Eubacteriales, Peptococcaceae.